UCCUGUGAGCCGAGAUGCUAGCCAGCGACAGCUCCAGGGAAGGUGUGGAAGGGCGGCCCAGGGAGACCAGGCCCCUCACGGCUGGUGCACUGGGCCCCAUCUGUCAUCCGGGCCACAUCUGUCAUCCCGGCCACACAGGAGGCUGAGGCCCGGGAACCCCGGCUCCAAGCCAGUCUGGGGCGGAACUGUCUUGAAGACUCUUCUCACCAGUAAAACAGCCAAAAACUAGUCACGGAGGUGUGGUUUGAGUGUGGACUCGUGCAACGGCCAGUGGAGAAUACAUUUCUGGAACAGCUGGAGGGACGACCAGGGUGAGCCCAGUGGAUGCCGCCAUGUCUUCCAGCCCUGGAUGGGGUGAUGAACGGCGUGAGGUGGCCUGGGCCUAUCUGGUGUCUUCUUUGCGGCUGGAAGGUGUCAGGUCCGAGGUGCCCGCGUGAUUGGCACAGUGGGCUUUUGUAACUUGUCUGCAUGGCGAGCACCCCUUCCGUGGGCUUCUAGAAGGCUCUGGUCCCGUCCCAGGAGGGGGUCCUCGCAGUCACGUCUCCUGCACUCGAACUGUGUGGGACACGCCGGGUUUACACAAGGAUAAAGAAGACGUGUAUUUCACAAUAAAAGACGGCUGCACAC
Long non-coding RNA from Dipodomys ordii (Ord's kangaroo rat), 627 nucleotides. RefSeq lists it as uncharacterized. The transcript has 2 exons. The record is from RefSeq and is a predicted model, not a curated record. Lineage: Eukaryota; Metazoa; Chordata; Mammalia; Rodentia; Heteromyidae.